GGGUUGUGAGGUUAAGCGACUAAGCAUUACGGUGGAUGCCACGGCAGCAGUCGCAGAGGCGAUGAAGGACGUGCUAAUCUGCGAUAAGCGUCGGUAAGGUGAUAUGAACCGUUAUAACCGGCGAUUUCAGAUAGGGGAAACCAGUGUGUUUCGACACACUAUCGUGCUUGAAUCCAUAUGGGUUAAUGGGAGGCGAACCGGGGAACUGAAACAUCUAAGUACCCGAGGAAAAUCAACCGAGAUUCCCCAGUAGCGGCGAGCGAACGGGGAACAGCAGAGCCUGAAUCGGUGUGUGUGUUAGUGGAAGCGUCUGGAAAGGCGCGCGAUACAGGUGACAGCCCCGUACGCAAAAUGCACAUACUGUGAGCUCGAUGAGUAGGGCGGGACGUGGUAUCUGAAUAUAGGACCAUCCUCAAGGCUAAAUACUCCUGACUGACCGAUAGUGAACCGAACAAAUGAGGGAAAGGCGAAAGAACCCCGGCGAGGGUGAAAAGAACCUGAAACCGUGUACGUACAAGCGGUGGGAAUAUCUUAAUGGGGUGACUGCGUACCUUUUGUAUAAUGCGGUCAGCGACUUAUGUUCUGGCAGUUAACCGGAAUAGGAGCCGAAACUCGAGUCUUAACUGGGCGUUAAGUUGCAGGGUAUGAACCAGAAACCCAGUGAUCUAGCCAUGGGCAGGUUGAAGGUUAGGUGGCACUAACUGGAGGACCGAACCGACUAAUGUUGAAAAAAUUAGCGGAUGACUUGUAACGGGGUGAAAGGCCAAUCAAGAGAUAGCUGGUUCUCCCCGAAGCUAUUUAGGUAGCGCCUCGUAGAUUCCAUCUCCGGGGUAGAGGCACUGUUUCGGCAAGGGUCAUCCCGACUUACCAGCGAUGCAAACUGCGAAUACCGGAGAAUAUCACAGGAGACACACGGCAGGUGCUAACGUCCGUCGUGAAGAGAAACAACCCAGACCGCCAGCUAAAGGUCCCAAAGUCAUGAGUUAGAGUGGGAAACGAUGUGGAGAGGCCCAGACAGCCGGGGAUGUUGGCCAAAGCAGCCAUCAUUUAAAGAAAGCGUAAUAGCUCACUGGUCGAGUCGGCCUGCGCGGGGAAGAUGUAGCAGGGCUAAACCAUGCACCGAAGCUGCGGCAGCGACACUAUGUGUUGUUGGGUAGGGGAGCGUUCUGUAAGCCUGUGAAGGUGUACUGGUAUGUAGGUAUCAAGAAGUGCGAAUGCUGACAUAAGUAACGAUAAAGCCCGGGUGAAAAGCCCGCUCGCCGGAAGACCUGUCCAGCGUUAAUCCAGGGCAGGGUGAGUCGACCCUAAGGCGGGGCCGAGGGCGUAGUCGAUGGAAACAGGUUAAUAUUCCUGUGCCCGGUGUUACUGCGAAGGGGGACGGAAGGCUAUGUUGGCCGGGCGACGGUUGUCCCGGUUUAAGCGUGUAGGCUAGUUUUCGAGGCCGUCCGGAAAAUCAAGGCUGAGGGCGUGAUGACGAGGCACUACGGUGCUGAAGUAACCGAUACCCUGCUUCGGGGAAAAACCUCUAAGCAUCAGGUAACGUCAAAUCGUACCCCAAGCCGACACGGGUGGUCAGGUAGAGAAUACCAAGGCGCUUGAGAGAACUCGGGUGAAGGAACUAGGCAAAAUGGUGCCGCUUCGGGAGAAGGCGCGAUAUGUAGGUGAAGUCCCUUGCGGAUUGGUAAAUCCAGUCGAAGAUACCAGCUGGCUGCAACUGUUUAUUAAAACACAGCACUGUACAAACGAAAGUGGACGUAUGCAGUGUGACGCAGUGCCGGAAGGUUAAUUGAUGGGAGGUUAGCGGUAACGCGAAGCUCUUGAUCGAAGCCCCGAUGAAGCGGCGGCCGUAACUAUAACGGUCCUAAAGGUGGCAGAAAUUCCUUGUCGGGUAAGUUCCGACCUGCAGAUAGCGUAAUGAUGGCGGGCUGUCUCCACCCCAGAGACUCAGUGAAAUUGAACUCGCUGUGAAGAUGCAGUGUGUACCCGCGGCAAGACGGAAAGACCCGUGAACCUUUACUAUAGCUUGACACUUUGAACUUGUUGAGCCUUGAUGUGUAGGAUAGUGCAAGAACUUUGAAGUGUGGACGCCAGUCUGCAUGGGCUCGUAGCAAACCACCACCCUUUAAUGGCUGAUGUUCUAACGUUGGCUGAUCGGGGUUGCGGACAGUGUCUGGUGGGUAGUUUGACUGGGGCGGUCUCCUAAAGGUAACGGAGGAGCACGAAGGUUGGCUAAUCACGGUGGACAUCGGAGAGUUAGUGCAAUAGCAUAAGCCAGCUUGACUGCAGGCGUGACGGCGCGAGCAGGUGCAACAGUCCAUAGUGAUCCGGUGGUUCUGAAUGGAAGGGCCAUCGCUCAACGGAUAAAAGGUACUCCGGGGAUAACAGGCUGGUACCGCCCAGAGUUCAUAUCGACGGCGGUGUUUGGCACCUCGAUGUCAGCUCAUGCAUCCGGGGCUGAAGUAGGUCCCAAGGGUAUGGCUGUUCGCCAUUUAAAGUGGUACGCGAGCUGGAGUUUAGAACGUCGUGAACAGUUCGGUCCCCUAUCUGCCGUGGGCGCUGGAGAACUGAGGGCUACUCCUGAGUACGGACCGGUGGACGCAUCACUGGUGUUCGGGUUGUCAUGCAAUGGCACUGCCCAGUAUUCAUCUGCGGAAGAGAUAAGUGCUGAAAGCAUCUAAGCACGAAACUUGCCCCAGAUGAGUUCUCCCUGACUCAUAUGAGAGUCCUGAAGGAACGUUGAAGACGACGACGUUGAUAGGCCGGGUGUAUGGCGCAGCGAUGCGUUGAGCUAACCGGUACUAAUGAACCGUGAGGGCUUAACCUUACAACGCCGAAGGUGUUU
RNAcentral lists this ribosomal RNA (2842 nucleotides) under Escherichia coli. RNAcentral's name for it is "23S ribosomal RNA". It matches the Rfam family "Bacterial large subunit ribosomal RNA". Lineage: Bacteria; Pseudomonadati; Pseudomonadota; Gammaproteobacteria; Enterobacterales; Enterobacteriaceae. The record is from RNAcentral.